CAGCAGCCGCGGGAAUACGGAGGGUGCAAGCGUUAAUCGGAAUUACUGGGCGUAAAGCGCACGCAGGCGGUCUGACAAGUCAGAUGUGAAAUCCCCGGGCUUAACCUGGGAACUGCAUUUGAAACUGUCAGGCUGGAGUCUUGUAGAGGGGGGUGGAAUUCCAGGUGUAGCGGUGAAAUGCGUAGAGAUCUGGAGGAAUACCGGUGGCGAAGGCGGCCCCCUGGACAAAGACUGACGCUUAGGUGCGAAAGCGUGGGGAGCAAACAGGAUUAGAUACCCCGGUAGUCCCUGUCUCUUAUAC
RNAcentral lists this ribosomal RNA (301 nucleotides) under uncultured bacterium. RNAcentral's name for it is "partial 16S ribosomal RNA". It matches the Rfam family "Bacterial small subunit ribosomal RNA", at positions 509 to 807 of the family's 1533-position model. The record is from RNAcentral.